RNAcentral lists this ribosomal RNA (253 nucleotides) under uncultured bacterium. RNAcentral's name for it is "partial 16S ribosomal RNA". It matches the Rfam family "Bacterial small subunit ribosomal RNA", at positions 524 to 776 of the family's 1533-position model. The record is from RNAcentral.
GACGAACCGUGCGACCGUUGUUCGGAAUCACUGGGCUUAAAGGGCGCGUAGGCGGGCUAUCAAGUCCGGGGUGAAAUCCUCCAGCUCAACUGGAGAACUGCCUCGGAUACUGAUGGUCUCGAGGAGGAUAGGGGCACACGGAACUGUGGGUGGAGCGGUGAAAUGCGUUGAUAUCCAUAGGAACUCCGGUGGCGAAAGCGGUGUGCUGGAUCCUUUCUGACGCUGAGGCGCGAAAGCCAGGGGAGCAAACGGG